GGAAUUGUGGCUCAGUGGUAGAGCACUUGCCUAGCAAGUGUGAGGCACUGAGUUCGAUCCUCAGCACCA
This 69-nucleotide transfer RNA is filed under the name Marmota marmota marmota (Alpine marmot). It matches the Rfam family "tRNA". Rfam says of the family: Transfer RNA (tRNA) molecules are approximately 80 nucleotides in length. Their secondary structure includes four short double-helical elements and three loops (D, anti-codon, and T loops). RNAcentral also lists the same sequence under 1 other name. Lineage: Eukaryota; Metazoa; Chordata; Mammalia; Rodentia; Sciuridae. The record is from Rfam by way of RNAcentral.